Molecule: ribosomal RNA, 253 nt
Filed under: uncultured bacterium
Lineage: Bacteria
Description: partial 16S ribosomal RNA
Rfam family: Bacterial small subunit ribosomal RNA
Source: RNAcentral
UACGUAGGUGGCAAGCGUUGUCCGGAAUUACUGGGUGUAAAGGGCGUGUAGGCGGGUUUGCAAGUCAGAGGUGAAAUUCCGGGGCUCAAACCGGGCGCUGCAUCUGAAACUGUUAUUCUUGAGUGCCGGAGAGGAAAGUGGAAUUUCCAGUGUAGCGGUGAAAUGCGUAGAGAUUGGGAGGAACACCAGUGGCGAAGGCGGCUUUCUGGACGAUAACUGACGCUGAUGCGCGAAAGCGUGGGGAGCAAACAGG